Molecule: ribosomal RNA, 467 nt
Filed under: uncultured bacterium
Lineage: Bacteria
Description: partial 16S ribosomal RNA
Rfam family: Bacterial small subunit ribosomal RNA
Source: RNAcentral
GACGAACGCUGGCGGCGUGCUUAACACAUGCAAGUCGAACGGAAAGGCCCUGCUUUUGUGGGGUGCUCGAGUGGCGAACGGGUGAGUAACACGUGAGUAACCUGCCCUUGACUUUGGGAUAACUUCAGGAAACUGGGGCUAAUACCGGAUAGGAGCUCCUGCUGCAUGGUGGGGGUUGGAAAGUUUCGGCGGUUGGGGAUGGACUCGCGGCUUAUCAGCUUGUUGGUGGGGUAGUGGCUUACCAAGGCUUUGACGGGUAGCCGGCCUGAGAGGGUGACCGGCCACAUUGGGACUGAGAUACGGCCCAGACUCCUACGGGAGGCAGCAGUGGGGAAUAUUGCACAAUGGGCGGAAGCAUGAUGCAGCAACGCCGGGUGCGGGAUGACGGCCUUCGGGUAGUAAACCGCUUUCGCGUGUGACGAAGCGUGAGUGACGGUAAUGGGUAAAGAAGCACCGGCUAACUACGU